This 379-nucleotide ribosomal RNA is filed under the name Glyptograpsus jamaicensis. Its description in RNAcentral is "partial 16S large subunit ribosomal RNA". Lineage: Eukaryota; Metazoa; Arthropoda; Malacostraca; Decapoda; Glyptograpsidae. The record is from RNAcentral.
UARACUUAAAGAGCCGCAGUAUYUUGACUGUGCAAAGGUAGCAUAAUCAUUAGUUUUUUAAUUGGAAUCUUGUAUGAAUGGUUAGACAAAAGAAAAUUUGUCUCUGUAUUAAUUAAUGAAAUUAACUUUUAAGUGAAAAGGCUUAAGUAAAUUAAAAAGACGAUAAGACCCUAUAAAACAUUUUGUUGGGGCGGCAAGGAUAUAAUGUUUAACUGUAUAAAAAUUAAAACAAAUGUAAAUGAAUUGAUCCUAAAUAAAGAUUCUAAGUUUAAGUUACUUUAGGGAUAACAGCGUUAUUUUUUUUGAGAGUUCUUAUCGAAAAAAAAGUUUGCGACCUCGAUGUUGAAUUAAAAUAUUCUAUACAAUUGUAGAAGUUGUA